UCAUCACCCUCACUUUCCUUAUCAGACUUAUCAUUUUCAUCACUACUGGCCGGACAUGGAGGAAGAAUAUUUCCUGAUUCAAAAAGAAAAGUUAGUUGGGCCUGAAGCGCUGCAUACCUCUUGUUCUCUACCUCCUUUGCUGCCGCAAUCUCCUCCUCUCUCUUUCUUCUCUCUUCUUCUCUCUUUCGACUACAACAGCAAGCUCGGCAUUGAGAUAAGCUAUCUUACUCUCCAUUGCAGAUAUUGUCUCUCUAUCCCCGCCAUCAAAGCUUGAGGAUGAUGAACCAAAAUACCAAGACUUCUUCUUCUGAUACGCCUUUUCUGGAUAGCCAUAGACUGAACCUCUAAUCGGUUCACCAGCACUCUGUUUCCAAAGAUUCUCGUUUUCUUCUUGUGUAAAUGGUCUGUCCUGACUCUCAAGAGGUAGAGUACUAC
RNAcentral lists this long non-coding RNA (435 nucleotides) under Solanum tuberosum (potato). RNAcentral's name for it is "long non-coding RNA (STUB_LNC008976)". Lineage: Eukaryota; Viridiplantae; Streptophyta; Magnoliopsida; Solanales; Solanaceae. The record is from RNAcentral.